This 670-nucleotide long non-coding RNA is filed under the name Homo sapiens (human). RNAcentral's name for it is "non-protein coding lnc-GRAMD2A-4:1". The record is from RNAcentral. Lineage: Eukaryota; Metazoa; Chordata; Mammalia; Primates; Hominidae.
AAUACCUCAAAUAAGGGAGAACUUAAUGUACUGGGGUCCCUAUCAUUAAAAGAUGCAGCUCUUGCCCAAAAAGACAGUUCCUCUGCUCACUUACCCCCAAAGGACCGACCUGUCACCGUGUUCUUUGAAAGAAAAGGAAGUCCAUGCCAAUCUAGUACUGUCAAGGAAUUAUCCAAGACAGACAGAAUGGGCACCCAGCUGAAUGUAGCCUGUAAACUCUCAAAUAAUCGCAUUUCAAAAAGAGAACACUUUAGGCCAACUCAGUCUUACAGCCACAAUUCUGAUGACCUUUCCAGAGAGGGAAAUGCUAGGCCCAUUUUCUUCACUCCAAAGGACAAUAUGAGUAUUCCCCUUGUCAGCAAAGAAGCCUUAAACAGUAAAAAUCCUCAACUCCAUAAAGAAGAUGAACCAGCAUGGAAACCUGUGAAGUUAGCUGGGCCAGGCCAAAGAGAGGUAAGUUUUGAGUUUUUGUUUAUCUAUCUUCUAUACAAAAGAGAUGUACAUUAUUUUGGAAAUUAUUAUUCUUGUAGGUAGAGCACCUCAUCUACCCAUUUACUCCCAAGUGUUUUUAGAGAAAGAAGCCAUGAGCGGAGAUUGUUAUAAUUAUGAAGGUGUACUCCAGGCAGGGAAUGGUGCCUAAAAACCCAGUUGCUAAGAAAAAGAAGGCAAU